UUGAUAGAUAUUUGAUAUCUAUUAUAUAUUUUAUCUAUUUUUGUGGUUUCUUUGUCGUUUUCUUUAUUGAUUUUUAUUCAUUCUUGUUCUAUUAAUAGGUUACCAAAUUAUUGUUCUAUUUGAAGAAGAGAGUUUCCCAUCUCUUACUCGGGUACCUUCUCCAAGUUAUAAGGAACCAGAUGGAAGCCAUUGAAUUGUUAGUCUACCUUCCUCCAUUGGAGUCUGAGGCAUAGAUGGACCGAAAGGGGAAUCAUCUAGCUUUAGAUGGGGGAGGAGAGCACGACUUGUGCUAGAACUUCUUCAAGAAAUUUGACAAAUUUACGCUUCUCAACCUUACUCAUGGCUCUCGCGUCUUGAUGUUUCAAGAGUUUCUCGUGGAGGGUACGUAAGGCUAUCCCCAACUGAAUCUUUGACUGGGGGAGAGAUGAUUCCGUCAGGGAAUUUAAUGUAAAAAUUCGAAAAACAAACAGAUAACAUUAUUAUUAGAGGAAACGUUUCAAAUAAAAUAUUUAAAAUGAUAUAUUUUGUGAAAUAUUAAUUUAGAACGUUCAAUUAUUUUAAAUUAAAUGAAACACAUCUUAAGGUAGAUCAUAUCUCCAGGUUGUAUAUCUCAAUUUACUCCAAAUAAAUAUGUUAGAUUAAUAUCUCAUUUGAAGUUUACCCAAUUAAUAGAUGAGAGGUCGGAGAUCGAACGACAGGAUGAAAUUAGUGGAAUGUUUUAGAGAUUAAUUUUAUACCAUUUAAAUGAAAUAAAAGAGUACUUAUAGUAUUACAAUAUUUGUAAUUAAUUAAUUAAUUCUAAAGGAUUUUUAAUAUAAAAAUUCUAAUUGGAGAAGCGGUCUUCCGCUUCUCUCUCCGGCUCGGACCCGGUUCAUCACCGUUGGGUGAUUUUUGUUUACCGUGGUCUUCCCCCAAUUAAGUUAGGAUUUAGUUCGUCUUCUUCAACAACAACUCUUCUAAUCGUCGUGCUAUCUUCCUGGAUAGUGGAGCAGUCUAUCAGCAUCAUAUCAUCGUCGGCUUCUUCAGAUUCGGCAUUGUCUUCAAUGUUGAUAGGAGGGAAAAGACGCAACACAUCUUCAUGAAAUUCCCAAGACGAGUCCUCCGGUAUCGCUCCAUUCCAAGCGACCAGCCAUUGAUUUCUCUGUCUCGAUCUCACCCUGAAAAAUGGUACGCUUAUUAGAAUAAAUAACUUCUACUGUUUUUUUAGUUGAGUUUAAUAUUCUCAAAUACAAGUUUAUACAAUGAGUUAGCUGUUAGAGGUUAAUUAGUUUUAGAUACUCUUUCUUAUAAAUACUUUUGUAAGACUGCAUUCUUGGUUAAUGAAUUGAGUUCUUUCUUUUGAGAUUAUUGUUGAAUUGAACUUGAAACAAGCACCAAAAUCUUGGUACUCAAGACUGAGUGCAUUCCUAAUAUUAAAUGAAUUCUCUAACAGUCUGGCAGAUACAUUAUUGUUUCAAAAAAAAGAUAAUUUUUUAAUUUGAGUAAUUGUGUAUAUAUAUAGAUGACAUUAUAAUUUCAAGAAACAACAACAUUGAAAUUGAAGUUUUUAUUAAAAAUCUUUGUACUGCAUGAAUUUAGAUGUAGAGACCUAGGACUUUUGAAAUAUUUCUUUAGUAUAGAAAUUAGAUACAAUUUUGAUGGGUCACUUAACAUGACUCAAUCUAGAUAUGCAUUGAAUAUUUUAAGUAAAAACAACAUGCUAAAUUGUAAACUCAUAAGAACAUCAAUAUUGCAAAUUCCAAAUUGUCCAAAGAAAAUGGAGAAUUGUUAUAAGAUAUAGCAGCUUAUAGAGCCUUAGUUGGAUCCUUACAGUACAUACUUGGCACAAACAAGGCCCUGAUUUUAUUUAUGCAAUAAAUCAAGUGACUCAAUUUGUACAAGCUCCUAGAACUACUCACCUAGUAGCGGCCAAGAGAAUACUAAUGUAUAUAAAAUGAAUUUUAGAUCAUGGUCUUCAUUUUACCAAUACCAAAAGAACUGCCAUAAAUUGAUAGGUUUUUGUGAUGCUGAUCGAUUUUGCUGGUGAUCCAGACACCAGAAAAUCAACAACAGGCUAUUGUGUAUAUAUCGGAGGAAAUCUAGUGACAUGGUCAUCAAAGAAAUAGACAAUUAUUUCAAGAUCCAGUGCUAAGGCUCAAUAUAGAGCCUUAGCAAGUCAUACAACUGAAAUUAGAUGGACUCACUUCAUAUGUAAGGACCUUCUAUAUAAUUUACAUCAGAUACCUUUGUUAUAUACAGAUAACAGUUCAGCCAUUUUUAUGGCUAGAAACUGUUAAGUUUUGAUAUGUGUAUGAAAUAUAAUCCAAGUAUGGUUUAAUGAUUAAUCCAGAGUAAAGUAAAAUAGUGUUGAUGCAACGGAUAAUAUUGAUUGUUUAAUUUAUCUAAUGAGUAUGAUCAAGAUGUGUUGCAGGUAGAUAAUGUUUGACAGGGAUGAUAUAUAUAUGAUUUGUCCAAGUAGAUGCGGAGAUAUGUGUAUGCAUGCAAUAGAUAUCAGGUAUGAUAUAUAUAUGAAAUGUAAGCAGAUGAUUUAGCAAUACUGAGAUCGUUUGGAGAGCAAGGAGAUGACGAUGUAGGAGAGUCGAUGACUGAGUGUAGAGCAGAUCGGAGUGAAGCUGAUGAUGACUUUGAUCCACAGAUGAUGAUUAAUCCCAAAGGGAGUAUGAUUUUGAAACUUAGUAUCACAAACUGUAAAACAAUGUUAGGUUUGAGUUUGAUAUAUAUAGAUGGUUUAAAUGUUUGAUUCCAGCUUACAACGGUCAUAAGCUCAAGGUUCAACUGGCGCUUGUUGUCACUGUUGCUGAAGGCAAAGGUGACAUUAAGUGAUGGUUGGAGCUUCCUAGGAUUUUUACCAUAUUAAAGGUUUAGGUAUUAAAUUGAUCAUGUAAGGGUUUAAAUUAUAAAUUGGUUAAUGAGGGUUCAUAUUGUAAAUGUUGUAAAUGGAUUUAUGUAAUAAUUUUAUACGCCCCCUCAAAAGCGAGUUGGGCUGAAAAGAAACGAACUUUUGGACUGGUCCAUGUUCCAAUCUUUAAAUAUAAAAAGGGUUUUGUAAAUUUGAUUUUGGUUGUAAACACGAAUCGUCUUGUAGGGUUUCAGAGGGAAAUGAGGGUUUCACUGGAGGCAAGGGUUUGCUGGAGGCAAUCGUUCGGGUAUGUUUCUAGUCUUCUUCUUUUGUGCAUGUCGCUCUAUUCCUCUUGUUUAUGUUGUCUUUGGUUGGGUAUCCUUAUUCAUUUGUAUUCUUAAUGGGUUUUGUAGUGGGUGUUCUGUCUGUUAAUGUGUUUGCAUGUCAGUGUUUUCUUUCUUGGUGUUUGUUUUCCUUCAUCCAUUGUGUUUGUUUUCCUCUAUCAGUCUGUUCCGUGUAAGUUUUCCAUUUUCAGUUUCUUUUUGAGAUGAUUGAAUAGAUAUCCUGUAACAUCUUUUGUGAAGAUGUCUUCCACGUUUUCUUUGGUGUUUACCCUUUCUAUUUCAAUCUCUUUUUGUAAAGCUUUGUCUCUGAUCGUGUGUGUAUCGAUUUCUAUGUGUUUUGUUCUUAAUUUGAUGUAAGACUGGGUUUGUUGCAAUUGCAGUUGCAGAGGAACUAUUAAUUUGUAUAGAGUUUUGGAGUUACUAUAUUUACUUGCAUUUCCUUUAAUAGUUGUUUUAGCCAUGUGAUUUCACAAGUUGUGUGUGCUAAGGGUCGGUACUCUGCCUCUGCUGACGAUCUUGUUACUGUAUGUUGUUUUUUGGUUUGCCAUGAAACUAGGUUAUCAUUCAAGAAGAUGGCAAAUCCUGAUGUGGAUCGUCUGGUUGUGGGGAAAGAGGCCCAGUCAGAGUCUGAAAAUACUUUAAUCCUUGCGGUUCUUGUGCCUGAUGAGAAGAAAAGUCCACUUCCUGGUGAGUUUUUAAUGUAUCUUAAUAUUUUGUUCACCUUAGUAGAGUCUUCAUUUGUUGGUUCUGACAUGUGUUGGCUUAGUUGGUUUACUACAUAUGUUAUAUCGGGUUUGGUUACAGUUAGGUAGACAAGUUUUCCAACUAUGCAUCUGUACUCAGUAGGAUCAUCAAGUAAUUUAAUUUCCUUGUUCUGUUUGUUUGACGAUCUUGAUGGUGUAUAGAGUGGGUAUUCUCCUGGUUUAGCAUGUAGAUAGUUGUUUUGUUCAAGGAUUUCUAAUGCAUAUUUUCUUUGGCUUAUAAAAAUCCCAUGUUGUGUUGUUGUGAAUUCUAAUCCUAAGAAUUUUUUUAAUGUUCCUAGAUCUUUGAUGUUAAAAAAACUGGUUAAAUCUGUCUUAAGUUUGAUUAUUUCUUUUAAGUUAUUUCCUGUGAUUAAUAGAUCAUCUACAUAUGGUAGGAUGAAAAUUUUAUUUUUCCCAUUGAUCUUACCGAAGAGAGCAUAAUCCUCUCUUGUCUGUUUAAAACCUAAUUUGUUUAGUACUUGUUGUAGUUUGUUAAACCACAUUCUAGAUAUUUGUUUUAAGCUAUAUAGAGGUUUUGUUAAUUUGCAUGCUAGUUUGUGGUUGUCUGUUGGUUCUUUGUUGAUCCUUAGACCUUGGUGAGACAUGCCUGAUUACGACAGUCACUCCCAGCAACGCCUUUCAAUAAGGACUAGGGUUCCGUCACUUUACCCCCGGAAGGCUCCCACGGUGCGGAACAAGUUCAUCGUCAAAUCGCGAGUUAACCCGUAAAUCGCGAUUGGACUACCAAAUCGCCGAUUUUAUGGACAAAUCGUUGAGUUAGGGCCCAGAUCGGCAGUAUGGUAGACUGCAUAUCUCGCCCCUUGAAACUCGACGAGUUUACCCUAAUAGGCGAUUUUCAUACCUGAAUCGUCGAUUUACGACCGUUACUCGCCGCCAGCCAACGCCAUAAAUGAACCCAUAUAUGGCAAUAGGCCUCGAUAUCCUCCUUUGAUCGCGCCCUCCGAGACCCUAUAAAAAGGGUCCCAAGGGGACACUCAAAGGCACAACACAAGUUCCACUCUCACCAGAGCACCACUAAGAGAAUCGCCGAUUUCCACACCAGAAUCGCCGAUUCUCUCCUUUCAGGUAUUUGACGUAGAGCGCGCGUCGUGGACUCCAGAGCCUCCGGCAUCACCUCGCACUACCGCGAGCCUUGGUAGCAGAUUCAGUGCUUCAUCAGAAGGCAUUUUGAACAUCCAUCUGAUGGAGGUGCCAUCCUUGGUGAGACAUGCCUGAUUACGGCAGUCACUCCCAGCAACGCCUUUCAACAAGGACUAGGGUUCCGUCGCUUUGGCCGGACCCCCGGAGAGCUCCCACGGUGCGGAACACGUUAAUCGUCCAGAUCGCCGAGUUAGCCCGUAAGUCGCCCGAUUGGACUACCAAGUCUCCGACAUAAAGGAUAAGUCGCCGAUUUAAGGGCAAGAUCGGCAGUAUGGUAGACUGCACAUCUUGCCACUGGAAACUCGGCGAGUUAGCCCUAACUAGGCGACUUCCAUACCUGAAUCGCCGACUUACGAAAGUUACUCGCCACCAGCCAACGUCAAAAAUGUUACCAUAUAUGACCAAAGGCGCGAUGUCCGCCUUUGAUUGCGCCCUCCAAGACCCUAUAAAAAGGGUCCCAAGGGGACACUCAAAGGCAUGAUUCAAGUUCCUCUCUCACACCAGAGCAUCACUAAGAAACUCGUUGAUUCUCAUUAGAAUCGCCUAGUUUCUCCUUGCAGGUAUUUGACGUAGAGCGCGCGUCGUGGACUCCGGAGCCUCCGGCAUCACCUCGCACCACCGCGAGCCCUAGUAGCAGAUUCAGUGCUUCAUCAAAUGUUCUUCAGAAAAUCGAGAAUACAACUUGUACGUCACUGUUCUUUUAUUAUUUGGUUAUUUACAGUCUAUGGUUUUUAGUCCUUGAUAGAUAUUAGAUAUUUAAUAUUAUUUAUCUAAUAUAGGUUUUAUCUAUUUUUGUGGAUUUCUUUGUCGUUUUCUUUACAUGUCGAAUUUUAUUUAUUCUUGUUCUAUUAAUAGGUUAAUAAAUUCUUGUUCUAUUUGAAGAAGAGAGUUUCCCACCUCUUCCUCAGGUACGUACCUUCUCCAAGUUAUAACGGACCUGAUGGAGGUUAUUGAAUUCUUAAUCUACCCUCCUCCAUUAUAGUCUGGGGCAUAGAUGGGCAGGAAGGGGAAUCAUCUUUAGAUGGAGGUGAUCGCCACCACUAAGUCAGACUUUAUAACAUUCCGGUGAUGGAUAUACACUUCCGAUGUUAUAAAAUCAUAUUUAAAAAUCCAACCUUGUCUCUGAUACCAAAUGAUAGAAAUUAUCAUACUUUAUGAUCUAAGAUUUUUAUAUCAACAACCCAAUGAUCCAAGCCUGGAUUAACUUGAUAUCUUCCUAAGAGUCCAACCACAAAUGCAAUAUCUGGUCUAGUGCAUACCUGAGCAUACAUUAGACUUCCAUAAGGAAAUGCUUUCAUUUCAUUCUUCUGUAAGUCUGUUAGAGGACAUUGAGCUAAAUUCAAUUUAUCACAUUUUACAAUUGAAGCAACACUUGACUUACAUUCUGAGAGAUUAAACCUUUGUAAUAUACGAUCGAUGUAAGCUGAUUGAGAAAGACCUAACAAAUGUCUAGAUCGAUUUCUGUUGAUCUCAAUACCAAGAACAAAAGAUGCUUCACCCAAAUCUUUCAUAUCAAAUUCACUUGAUAAGAAUUUCUUUGUUUCAAAUAAUAUACUUAAAUCGUUGCAAGCAAGUAAUAUAUCAUCAACGUAUAGAACAAGCAAAACAUAUUUGCUCCCUCUGACCUUGUGAUAUAUACAUGGAUCCAUGAGAUUUUCCGAAAAACCAUAUGAAGAAAUGAUUUCAUGGAAUUUAAUAUGUCAUUGUCUUGAUGCUUGUUUAAGUCCAUAUAUAGACUUUUUAAGUCUACAAACAAGCUUGUCAUUUUCUUCAAAACCUUGUGGUUGCGUCAUAUAUAUUUCUUCAUUGAGAUUCCCAUUAAGAAAAGCGGUUUUAACAUCCAUUUGAUGUAGUUCUAGAUUGUAGUGAGCCACUAAAGCCAUAAUGAUUCUAAAAGAAUUCUUCGAGGAAACUGGUGAAAAUGUUUCAUGAUAUUCAAUUCUCUCUCUUUGAGUGAAUCCUUUGGCAACCAAUCUAGCCUUAAACCGCUAAAUCUUUCCUCUGGAAUCUCAUUUGGUUUUAAAAGCCCAUUUGCAACUCACAACUUUAACACCCUCAGGUAACUGAAUAAGUUCUCAUUCUUUAUUAUGGUACAUAGACUGCAUCUCAUCUUUCAUUUCAUCUUGCCACAAAUUAAUCACAUUGUGCACUUGCAACCGCUUGAUCAUAUGAGAUAGGGUCAACUGUACUACUACAACCAAUGUCAUAGUCGUAUUCUCCUAAAUAAACUUCAUAAUCAUUAGGGAUAGCUGAUCUUCUUUCUCGAGUAGUCCUCCUUGGUUCAAUAACUAGUGGAUCUACUGGUGUAAUAAUUGGUUCAUCAACUUGAGCAAUAACUGGUGUGUCAACGGAUGUCACUGAAGAUGUGGUUGGUUUAAUCGAAAAUAAGGGUAUAACUACUGUUAAUGGUUGAUGGUCCAAUGAAUUAGAAACCUCUGAAGUAUUAACAUCUGCUACAUCAUUUUCUAAGAAUUUUGCUGUUCGAGAAUCUACAAUUAUUGUUCCACCAUGAGGUCUAUAAAAUCGAUAUACCUUAUAAUGAUUCGGAUAUCCCACAAAAUAGCAUGUCACUGUUCUUGAAUCUAACUUGUUUAAUGUUGGAUUGUAUAAUUUCACCCCUACAGGAUAACCCCAAAUCUUCAAAUGAUUUAAACUAGGUUUUCUACCUGUCCAAAGUUCAAAAGGUGUAACUGGUACUGACUUACUUGGGACUCGAUCAAAAUAUACAAUGCUGCUUGUAUUGCUUCACCCCACAAGAAUGUUGUUAAAUUUGCUCUACUAGUCAUGCUUCUCACCAUAUCCAUUAGGGUACGAUUUCUUCUUUCUGCCGCUCCAUUCUGCUCAGGAGUUCCUGACAUAGUGUAUUGCCCAAUUAUUCCAGAUUCUUCCAAAUAUUAUGCAAAAGGACCUUUAAGUUGUCCAACAUCUCCAUGUUUACCGUAAUAUUCUACACCUCUAUCUAUCUGAUCUAACAAUCUUUAUAGAUUUUUCCAAUUGUUUCUCAACUUCUGUUUUGAAUACUUUAAAUUUCUCUAAAGAUUCAUAUUUUUCUUUGAUAAGAAACAAAUAGCCAUAUUUAGAAAAAUCAUCUAUAAAUGUUAUAAAAUAUAAGCAUCCACACAGAGUUUUAUGAUAUGGUCCACUAAUAUCCGUAUAAAUAAUCUCCAAAAGACUAGUGUUACGAGUAGCAGUCUUUUUGCCUUUCUUGGUCAUUUUCCUCUUAAGACAAUCAAUACAUUCUGCAUUGUCAUUAUCUAAAGAAGGAAGAAUGGUCGAUUUAACCAAUCUUUUAAUUCUAUCUUGUGAAAUAUGAUCUAACCUUUUAUGCCAUAACGUAUAUGAUUUUUCUUUAUUUAAGGGUCUUUUGGAAACUGUAUUUUCCACAUUACAAGCUAUAUAGAACUUCAUAGAAUCAAGACAUAAUCUGUAUAGGUCAUAAGACAAAACACAAUUACCCAUAAUCUUUGAGUUAUGAAACAUUGAAACUGUAUUGUUCUUAAAUUCAAAAGAAAAACCAUGUUUUCUUAAUUUACUAACAGAAAUUAGAUUCCGUCUAAACGACGGAGCAUACAAAGUGUCUUUCAAUGUUAAACCAAAUCCUGAAUCUAGAUUUAAAAUAACAUCGCCCACAAAUUCUAAAUCAGUUUGUCCAUCAUUUCCUACUAACAAUCUUGAUUCAUCCUGAUUUGGCUUCCUUCUAUUUGUGAAUCCCUGUAUGGUGAAUGCAACAUGAUUAGUUGCUCCACUAUCCAACAACCAAGAACUAGAUGAAGAUUCUAUUAAAUUAGAUUCAUAAACUAAUGUCAAAGAAUCAAUACCUUUUUGUUCCUGUUUUAUGAGCCAAGAUUUAAACUUUAAGCAAUUCUACUUUAUGUGUCCCGGUUUCAUACAGAAGAAACAUCCAUUGAUUGCUUUCUUGAGGGAGUUCUUGUUAGAACCAAAUUUGUCAGAUAAGUUGGUAUCCUUAGAAUCUUUAUUUUUCACAAACAUUUUGAACUUAAAUCCUUUCUUAUUUGAACUAUACAUUGUUAUCGAAGAUUUUUCGCCUUUUAUUUUAUCUCCUAUGUCUCCAAAUAAUUAUUUCUUUUAAUUCGAGCCCAGCUCGCGGGUUCGAGCCCGGGCCCAAACCUAACAAUUCUUAAAACGAGCCGAGCCCGAGCCUGGCUCUAUAAGCAAAAGCUCAACUUGUUUGACACCCUAAUCUCUGAUAAAUAUUCCGAGAAUAUUUUGCCACUUAUCUUCAAAUUCUGAAGUUUUUUGGCGUAGACUCAUCACAUACGAUCGAGAAUUAGAUGCAAAUUGCAUUUGAAGUGUUUCCCAUACCUCAUGUGCCGUAGCACAAUCAGAGACUUCCGACAGUACCGAGGGUGAAAUUGAUGAAAAUAGCCAUCCUAAAAUCAAUUGAUCUUGCUUGAUGGCAAGAGAGUUGUCCAAUUUUUCCCUACCGGCCAGAUAGUCCAUCAGCUCAUGACCUCGGAUAUUAGCCCCAAAUUGGGCUCUCCACGCGAAGUAAUUGCUGCGGUCUAGGGCUACAGUCUUGAAGUUCUUGGCGGUCACCUUUCCUGGUGCGUCGUUGCCAUAGAGCUUCUUUGCAGCCAGCGAAAUCCCUUUGUCAGCUUCGUCAAUCGACAUUGCGUAUCGGAAAAAAAUUGUGAUCGUCAACGAUCUUGGAGCGAUUCCGAUGAUCAGAGAUGUGCGGCUUCCCAAGAUCAGCUAGGCGAAAGGUACCAUAACAGUGAAUUGAAAUAUAUGAAUGGGGAAAGCCAAACUCGAUCCCUUUCAUAUUCAAUAGAAAGAUCUAUUUAUACAAUUUGUUACUCUAAUAUCCUAUUUGUUUGUUCUUUUGUAUUAUCGAUAUUUAUUGUCUAUUUUUUAUAAUGUUCUUGUCUAUUUUUAUAUUUACAGUCUAUGGUUUUUAGUCCUUGAUACUUGAUAGAUAUUUGAUAUCUAUUAUAUAUUUUAUCUAUUUUUAUGGUUUCUUUGUCGUUUUCUUUAUUCAUUUUUAUUCAUUCUUGUUCUAUUAAUAGGUUACCAAAUUCUUGUUCUAUUUGAAGAAGAGAGUUUCCCAUCUCUUACUCGGGUACCUUCUCCAAGUUAUAAGGAACCAGAUGGAGGCCAUUGAAUUGUUAGUCUACCUUCCUCCAUUGGAGUCUGAGGCAUAGAUGGACCGAAAGGAGAAUCAUCUAGCUUUAGAUGGUGGAGGAGAGCACGACUUGUGCUAGAACUUGUUCAAGAAAUUUGACAAAUUUACGCUUCUCAACCUUACUCAUGGCUCUCGCGUCUUGAUGUUUCAAGAGUUGUUCGUGGAGGGUACGUAAGGCUAUCCCCAAUUGAAUCUUUGACUGGGGGAGAGAUGAUUCCGUCAGGGAAUUUAAUGUAAAAAUUCGAAAAACAAACAGAUAACAUUAUUAUUAGAGGAAAUGUUUCAAAUAAAAUAUUUAAAAUGAUAUAUUUUGUGAAAUAUUAAUUUAGAACGUUCAUUUAUUUUAAAUUAAAUGAAACACAUAUUAAGGUAGAUCAUAUCUCGAGGUUGUAUAUCUCAAUUUACUCCAAAUAAAUAUGUUAGAUUAAUAUCUCAUUUGAAGUUUACCCUAUUAAUAGAUGAGAGAUCGGAGAUCGAACGACAGGAUGGAAUUAGUGGAAUGUUUUAGAGAUUAAUUUUAUACCAUUUAAAUGAAAUAAAAGAGUACUUAUACUAUUACAAUAUUUGUAAUUAAUUAAUUCUAAAGGAUUUUUAAUAUAAAAAUUCUAAUUGAAGCAGCGGUCUUCCGCUUCUCUCUCCGGCUCGGACCCGGUUCAUCACCGUUGGGUGAUUUUUUUUUACCGUGGUCUUCCCCCAAUUAAGUUAGGAUUUAGGUCGUCUUCUUCAACAACAACUCUUCUAAUCGUCAUGCUAUCUUCCUGGAUAGUGGAGCAGUCUAUCAGCAUCAUAUCAUCGUCGGCUUCUUCAGAUUCGGCAUUGUCUUCAAUGUUGAUAGGAGGGAAAAGACGCAACACAUCUUCAUGAAAUUCCCAAGACGAGUCCUCCGGUAUCGCUCCAUUCCAAGCGACCAGCCAUUGAUUUCUCUGUCUCGAUCUCACCCUGAAAAAUGGUACGUUUAUUAGAAUAAAUAACUUCUACUGUUUUGUUAGUUGAGUUUAAUAUUCUCAAAUACAAGUUUAUACAAUGAGUUAGUUGUUAGAGGUUAAUUAGUUUUAGAUACUCUUUCUUAUAAAUACUUUUGUAAGACUGUAUUCUUGGUUAAUGAAUUGAGUUCUUUCUUUUGAGAUUAUUGUUGAAUUGAGCUUGAAACAAGCACCAAAAUCUUGGUACUCAAGACUGAGUGCAUUCCUAAUAUUAAAUGAAUUCUCUAACAGUCUGGCAGAUACAUUAUUGUUUCAAAAAAAAGAUAAUAUUUUAAUUUGAGUAAUUGUGUAUAUAUAUAGAUGACAUUAUAAUUUCAAGAAACAACAACAUUGAAAUUGAAGUUUUUAUUAAAAAUCUUUGUACUGCAUGAAUUUAGAUGUAGAGACCUAGGACUUUUGAAAUAUUUCUUUAGUAUAGAAAUUAGAUACAAUUUUGAUGGGUCACUUAACAUGACUCAAUCUAGAUAUGCAUUGCUUAUUUUAAGUAAAAACAACAUGCUAAAUUGUAAACUCAUAAGAACAUUAAUAUUGCCAAAUUCCAAAUUGUCCAAAGAAAAUGGAGAAUUGUCCAAAGAAAUUAAGAUGACACCAGAAAAUCAACAACAAGCUAUUGUGUAUAUAUCGGAGGAAAUCUAGUGACAUGGUCAUCAAAGAAAUAGACAACUAUUUCAAGAUCCAGUGCUGAGGCUCAAUAUAUAGCCUUAGCAAGUCAUACAACUGAAAUUAGAUGGACUCACUUCAUAUGUAAGGACCUUCUACAUAAUUUACAUCAGAAACCUUUGUUAUAUACAGAUAACAGUUCAGCCAUUUUUAUGGCUAGAAACUGUUAAGUUUUGAUAGGUGUAUGAAAUAUAAUCCAAGUAUGGUUUAAUGAUUAAUCCAGAGUAAAGCAAAAUAGUGUUGAUACAGCGGAUAGUAUUGAUUGUUUAAUUUAUCUAAUGAGUAUGAUCAAGAUGUGUUGCAGGUAGAUAAUGUUUGACAGGGAUGAUAUAUAUAUGAUUUGUCCAAGUAGAUGCGGAGAUAUGUGUAUGCAUGCAAUAGAUAUCAGGUAUGAUAUAUAUAUAUGCAGGUGAUUUAGCAAUACUGAGAUCGUUUGGAGAGCGAGGAGAUGACGAUGUAGGAGAGUCGAUGACUGAGUGUAGAGCAGAUCGGAGUGAAGCUGAUGAUGACUUUGAUCCACAGAUGAUGAUUAAUCCCAAAGGGAGUAUGAUUUUGAAACUUAGUAUCACAAACUGUAAAACAAUGUUAGGUUUGAAUUUGAUAUAUAUAGAUGGUUUAAAUGUUUGAUUCCAGCUUAUAACGGUCAUAAGCUCAAGGUUCAACUGGCGCUUGUUGUCAAUGUUGCUGAAGGCAAAGGUGGCAUCAAGUGAUGGUUGGACCUUCCUAGGAUUUCUAUCAUAUUGAAGGUUUAGGUAUUAAAUUGAUCAUGUAAGGGUUUAGAUUAUAAAUUGGUUAAUGAGGGUUCAUAUUGUAAAUGUUGUAAAUGGAUUUAUGUAAUAAUUUUAUACGCCCCCUCAAAAGCGAGUUGGGCUGAAAAGAAACGAACUUUUGGACUGGUCCAUGUUCCAAUCUUUAAAUAUAAAAAGGGUUUUGUAAAUUUGAUUUUGAUUAUAAACACGAAUCGUCCUGUAGGGUUUCAGCGGGAAAUGAGGGUUUCACUGGAAGCAAGGGUUUGCUGGAGGCAAUCGUUCGGGUAUGUUUCUAGUCUUCUUCUUUUGUGCAUGUCGCUCUAUUCCUCUUGUUUAUGUUGUCUUUGGUUGGGUAUCCUUAUUCAUUUGUAUUCUUAAUGGGUUUUGUAGUGGGUGUUCUGUCUGUUAAUGUGUUUGCAUGUCAGUGUUUUCUUUCUUGGUGUUUGUUUUCCUUCAUCCAUUGUGUUUGUUUUCCUCUAUCAGUCUGUUCUGUGUAAGUUUUCCAUUUUCAGUUUCUUUUUGAGAUGAUUGAAUAGAUAUCCUGUAACAUCUUUUGUGAAGAUGUCUUCCACGUUUUCUUUGGUGUUUACCCUUUCUAUUUCAAUCUCUUUUUGCAAAGCUUUGUCUCUGAUCGUGUGUGUAUCGAUUUCUAUGUGUUUUGUUCUUAAUUUGAUGUAAGACUGGGUUUGUUGCGAUUGCAGUUGCAGAGGAACUAUUAAUUUGUAUAGAGUUUUGGAGUUACUAUAUUUACUUGCAUUUCCUUUAAUAGUUGUUUUAGCCAUGUGAUUUCACAAGUUGUGUGUGCUAAGGGUCGGUACUCUGCCUCUGCUGACGAUCUUGUUACUGUAUGUUGUUUUUUGGUUUGCCAUGAAACUAGGUUAUCAUUCAAGAAGAUGGCAAAUCCUGAUGUGGAUCGUCUGGUUGUGGGGAAAGAGGCCCAGUCAGAGUCUGAAAAUACUUUAAUCCUUGCGGUUCUUGUGCCUGAUGAGAAGAAAAGUCCACUUGCUGGUGAGUUUUUAAUGUAUCUUAAUAUUUUGUUCAACUUAGUAGAGUCUUCAUUUGUUGGUUCUGACAUGUGUUGGCUUAGUUGGUUUACUACAUAUGUUAUAUCGGGUUUGGUUACAGUUAGGUAGACAAGUUUUCCAACUAUGCAUUUGUACUCAGUAGGAUCAUCAAGUAAUUUAAUUUCCUUGUUCUGUUUGUUUGACGAUCUUGAUGGUGUAUAGAGUGGGUAUUCUCCUGGUUUAGCAUGUAGAUAGUUGUUUUGUUCAAGGAUUUCUAAUGCAUAUUUUCUUUGGGUAAUAAAAAUCCCAUGUUGUGUUGUUGUGAAUUCUAAUCCUAAGAAUUUUUUUAAUGUUCCUAGAUCUUUGAUGUUAAAAAAACUGGUUAAAUCUGUCUUAAGUUUGAUUAUUUCUUUUAAGUUAUUUCCUGUGAUUAAUAGAUCAUCUACAUAUGGUAAGAUGAAAAUUUUAUUUUUCCCAUUGAUCUUACUGAAGAGUGCAUAAUCCUCUCUUGUCUGUUUAAAACCUAAUUUGUUUAGUACUUGUUGUAGUUUGUUAAACCACAUUCUAGAUGCCGAUCCAGAGGCUCAAUCGCCGACUCCCCAUGAGCCUAGUGGCAGUCUACCAGAACUGUCCACGAAGCCUAGAGUCAGCGAUUCACCCCUGAAGUCGGCGACUUGGUAGUCCCAGUCGGCGACUCCCAGGUGCUGCCUUGAGUACUUGACGUAGACACUCCUUCCAAAUUCGUGGAACUCUUCGAGGGUCCGGCAUAAGGCGACGGAACCCUAGUCCUUGUCGAAGGGCGUUGCUGGGAGUGGCUGACGUGAUCAGGCAUGUCUCACCAGUACUCCCCCCUGAAGAGAGCAUGGCAAAACACCUGUGUACCGCCAGUAUCCCCCCCAAGCAAGGUGAUCUGCAUCAAGGCGAGUAGCGACAAGAUGGGAUUGAGUCAUUGCGCUCACAGCGACACUAAUGGCUCCGCAUGGUCCAUGCACUAUCAGAUGGACUGAUUCACUAUCAGAAUCUAGUUCCAGGCCAAUGGAACUACAUGUUUAUAGUCCUACUCUGAUCAAGAGCGACUUUUGCUGUGUGGAUUCUGGCCGAAGCGACAAAAUGCAUGGAUUCACUAUUAGAAUCUGAUUCUGGCCGAAGCGACAGAAUGCGUGGAUUCACUAUUAGAAUCUGAUUCUGGCCGAAGCAACAGAAUGCGUGGAUUCGUUAUCCGAAUCGGGUUCUGGCCGAAGCGACAAAUCGCGUGGAUUCAUUAUUAGAAUAUGAUUCUGGCCGAAGCGCGAGAAUGCGUGGAUUCGUUAUCCGAAUCGGGUUCUGGCCGAAGCGACAAAUCGCGUGGAUUCAUUAUUAGAAUCUGAUUCUGGCCGAAGCCCGAGAAUCUAGUUCACUAUCAGAACUGAUGUUUAUAGUCUACCCUGAUCAAGAGCGACUUGGUGUCCGCAACGACGGUUACCCCAUAGGCCGAAGCGCAAGAUGGGUCGAGAUCAUUAAGGUCAAAGCGACAAAAUGAUCUCCAAAUGUUCGAAGGACUAUUGAAGCCAAAGUGACAACAUAAUUCUUGCCGAAGCGACAGAAUCAUGCCUGCAAAACAAAAAACAACCUGCAAAACAACUAUAUCAGUCUAAAGGAUAUAUUUAUUGAUUUACUGACCUUGCCGUGCGGAGCAGCCUCUCAUGCUGCUCCUCCUUAUGCUCAAUAAAUCCUUGAUUGAUCUGUCCGAAGCGACAGAUCUUUCAUGCUAAAAAAUGUGACAGCUUCUGGCCGAAGCGACAGAAGUGCCGACUCACUAUUAGAGUCUGAUUCUGACCAAGGCUACAGAUCCACNNNNNNNNNNNNNNNNNNNNNNNNNNNNNNNNNNNNNNNNNNNNNNNNNNNNNNNNNNNNNNNNNNNNNNNNNNNNNNNNNNNNNNNNNNNNNNNNNNNNNNNNNNNNNNNNNNNNNNNNNNNNNNNNNNNNNNNNNNNNNNNNNNNNNNNNNNNNNNNNNNNNNNNNNNNNNNNNNNNNNNNNNNNNNNNNNNNNNNNNNNNNNNNNNNNNNNNNNNNNNNNNNNNNNNNNNNNNNNNNNNNNNNNNNNNNNNNNNNNNNNNNNNNNNNNNNNNNNNNNNNNNNNNNNNNNNNNNNNNNNNNNNNNNNNNNNNNNNNNNNNNNNNNNNNNNNNNNNNNNNNNNNNNNNUAUUAGAACCUUUCCUGCAAAAAAGAAAACAUCCUGCAAAAUAACUAGAUCAGUUCGAAAACGCAUAUAUUUAUUAUUGAACUUACCGUGUGAUCUACCUUUCGUGAUGUCCCUCCUUUGCUCAAAUUUGUCCUCGGUAAAUCUGGCCGAAGCGACAGAUUUUACCGUGCUCAAUUUCUUUGACGACUUCUGGCCGGAGCGACAGAAGUGUCGGGAGAGCUUGUGAUACUCCCCCCUGAAAUGUGACGACUUCCAUCCUAUAGACAGAAGUGCCGGGAGAGCUUGUGAUACUCCCCCUCGAAAUGUGACGACUUCUAUCUAAAUAGACAGAAGUGCCGGGAGAGCUUGUGAUACUCCCCCUCGAAAUGUGACGACUUCCAUCCUAUAGACAGAAGUGUCGGGAGAGCUUGUGAUACUCCCCCCUGAAAUGUGACGACUUCCAUCCUAUAGACAGAAGUAUCGGGAGAGCUUGUGAUACUCCCCCUCGAAAUGUGACGACUUCCAUCCUAUAGACAGAAGUGUCGGGAGAGUUUGUGACACUCCCCCUCGCGAAUUGUGCCCUUGUGACACAAAAACAUUUGCGACGAGUGUUUUUCGAAGUAUGUGACUGUCGGUGAACUAUCUAUUGUUUUUCCUUUGCUAAUCUUUCAUAUAAAUUACCCUUCAAAUUGUAACUAAGGCCCGAAACUAGAUUCACAAGUCGUAAUUUAGCCACUCUGGACGUAAAUUAGACUCUGCUAACCCUAUUGCUAGCCACUCUGGGCAUAGACUUGGUCGUACGAAUCGUAGCUCAGUCUACGGUUAAAUUUAUGGACAAUUUAUACCUCUAGACUAGCGUCGGAUUACUAGAGAUAGAGUAAACGACGAAUCAGAGAUAUUCGACACUCAAAGGUUGCCUUAAAAUUCGGAACCUUAACGAUGGAGAGAGCUUGUGAUACUCCCUCCUGAAAUAUGAUGACUUCUGGCCGAAGCGACAGAAGUGUCGGGAGAGUUUGUGAUACUCCCCCCUUGAAAUUUGACAACUUCUGGUCGAAGUGACAGAAGUGUCGGGAGAGUUUGUGAUACUCCCCCCUGAAGACUUGCACUUGGGGCAGUUUUAGUGUUAUUUUACCCGGAAUCGGCAACAAGAGUUUGUGAUACUCCUACAGUCGGCGAUACCUAUGGUUUGGGUAACUGUAGAGGGUAUUUUUGUUUUUUACCCCUGCGAGUCGGCGACUCCCUCUGUGAGUCGGCGACUCCUAGUGUAACCGCCGGAUCUUUUUGGGAGAUCCUUGGGAUAUUGGGAAGAUAUACGGGGAUUAUUUGUAAAAUCUCCAAAUAAGGAAAUUUUUCUCACAGUGCUGUGAGUUUUUGCCCGGAGUCGACGACUGCCCUGUGGAGUCGGCGACUUGGCGUGAUUCGGGGGAUUUGGAGAUCGAUUCUUGAUCUCAAAUUUUGUAAAUUUUGGGUUUUCUAGGGGGUUUUUGCAAUUUUCCCAAGGGCUAUAAAUAGUGGAGAGGUUUUCCCCAAACCCUCACAACACUUUUGCCACUCUUAAAUCGCCCACACCUCCAGAUUUUUGAAUCGUCGAUUCUUCAGUUUUAAAACUUCGAAUCGCAGAUUCCCCCAAUGUCUACCCCCGAUUCCCCUUUGUCUCCAUUGAAGGAAAACGAAACGUCAGCUUUCAUAGCUGAGAUGAUUGUGGACAACCUUGAUGAGGUGUUGAACACCGUUGAAUCGCCGAUUCCCUCUCCUGACAGAGAGGUUGAGCCGGCGAUUCCGGUCGUGCCACCUCAUGGAAUGGAGUUGAGUGCCACCGUGCACGAACUACUUGGCGCCUCGCCAGUGUCGGCGACUCCCCUUGUGGAGUCGGCGACUCAGUGCAGGGCCCUUGUAGUCGUACGGGAGCCUCUUGAGCUGGGGGAAAUUCCCGUGGCCUCUGUGUCGGCGACUCCCAUUGUGGAGUUGGCGACUCACGCAGGUCCUGUUAAAGGGAAAUCCUUCAAGCGAAGGGGGCAGGGCUCAGCUGCCAUUGGGUCGGCGACUGCUGGCCAUGCCUCGCCGAUUCCUAUCAUUGAAUCGGCGACUCGUGUGCUGGAGUCGGCGACUCCUAUGCUUAUUGAUGAUUCUUCCGCGCGUCGCACCGUACCAUUGGUCAUGAGCGCGGAAGGCCGAAUCGUGUCGGGACUGAACCCGAACCAAGGUCCUUCUCUGAAGAGAAAGAGAAGGCGCACCACUGGGAAGGGCAAAGUACGCGUGCCCGAAGAGAACGAAGGGGUCCCUCCUCCAUUGAAUAUAAACUUCGAGGAGACCUUGACUGUGGACCGUGGUGCUCAAAAUCCAUGACGUAGAGCGGGCCGGCGCUCUGAGAGAACUCCGCCACCUCCCGUGGAUCUGAACGCUAGUCGAGACCCGGACCUCGACUUGAACACGUACGUUGGAGCUUUGAACCCCUCUGGGUUCGCUCACUGUGAAAUCGCCGCGAAUGGCAUACCAAGGUUGCUUCCUAUCGACCGUUUUGGGGACGGCGAUUAUGAACAAGUGAUGACUCAUGCAACCUUGGAUGGGUCCGAUGGAGUGAAUCCCCCCUCCAAUUUGAAUGCGAGCGACGCUCGAUCACUGCUGUCGGGGAUUCAGAUAUCUGGUCAUCUGCGAUUCUGGAUGUCGCGAUACCAGCCGAUUAAUCUGCCAUCCCCGGGAUUCUAGGCUAUCCCGAGGAUCUACUUCAAGCACUUCUCCGAGCUGCCAAUUCCGGAGAUCAUCAGUGAAGUGCUCUUGAGAUUUGAAGUGUCCCUGUCGCAGCUCCCUGCGGGAUUCUUUGUGAUCCUGCGUGGUUUCAUGAACAUCUGCUGGGGGCUCAAUGUUGCUGCGACGGCGAGCUUGUUUCUGUACUUCUACAAGCUCACCAGAGAGAAGUCUGCAUCCGGUCGCUUUGGAUUCACGCGGCGACACUUUGACAAAAAUAUCGUCGACGAGCUCCCGACGAACUUCGGAUGCAACUGGAGAAAAGAGUUUAUCUUCAUAACUUCUGAAUUUCUUCCCGGGAGUCGGGAAAUGUGGAAUGACCCUAAUCGAGUGCAUAUGAACGCCUCGAUCGAGCUGAGUACGAGGGAUAUUGAGGUCUCGGAUCGGAUAGCGCGUACGCUUACUGCAUACUCUGUGCCGCGCGGUGUUCCCUUUGUCCUUUGCCAAAGGGAAGACUUUACAUUUGAUGAUAUUGAGGAAGCUCGUGAGCCACCCACUGAGAAAGAGCUGGAAGGUGGACAAAAACGAUCGAUCCUAUACCACGACGCUGCACCUCUUUAUAUGCGCAAGAGGUUCCGAGAGGGCAAGCUGAUCAGAUUGCGAAAGAAGAAGACCUCUCGCAGCGAGCCUCGCCGGACCUUUGAGCAUGGGUCGAGCUCUCGCUCUGCACCACCACCUCCCAGGGGCUAUGUGCCUUACACUUCUGCUGGAGUGACACUUCCCGACUUCAUGGCUGAUGCUGAAACUCGAAGGGAAGCGAUGUCACUCCUUUUGGGUCAUCCUGGGACCUGGUGCCGGAGCGAGCUCUUAAAGCAUUUGAAUGCCGCAUGCUAUAUGGCACAUGCUUGUUAUCAUGGAGACUCUAUCCAUGACGUCGAGAAGAUACAAGAAAAAUACAACCAACUCGACGCGAAGUUCAAAGAGAGCGAGAAGGCUCUCGAUAAGCUGAAGAAUAUGAGGUCCAGGAUGGAGAACCUCCGUGACAAUAUUCUGCCGAAGAAGGACAAGACCAUUGAGUCCAAGCAGAAAGAAAUAGAUGAGUAUGUCACGAAGAUCUUGGCGCUUCGCAAAGAUCUGAAAGUUGCUAGUUCUGGCAGCACUAAAGACAUUGAAGAUCUAAAGAGCCAACUAGCUAAUGAGAAAGGGUACGUGGCCUCGCUUGAGGCUACGGUAGCGGAGUUGAAGAAGCAAGCUGCUCAGAGCCAACGAGAAACCACUGAGCUGAAAAGCGAGCUUGCAAGUGCGGAAGAAGAGGUUCUGACUCUGAAAGAUGACAAUGCCGCACUUGCUGGGAGAGCUGCUGGGUUGGAUUUGGAUGUACGUUACCAAUCCGACCAGCUUCAAGAGCUCAUAUUCUUUGGUCCUUCCGUGUAUCCUGCUCUACCCCCCGACUACAUCACGGACAUAAUGGCGUGGGUAGAGCAACAUCCUGAAGAGCUCGAGAAAAAUAAAGAAGCUCUCGACAAGAUGAAGGACGAAGCCGCGCGAGAAUAGAUUUUCUAAGUCCUUUUAUUUUGUAACCUUUUUGUACUCGUUAUCUUUUUGUAAAUCUGAAAAUUUUUAAUGAAAUUAAUCGCUUUUGCUUUUCUAUUCAAUUGUUCAUUUACUUUAUUCUUUUGAAUUGUAACUAAGACCCGAAACUAGAUUCGCGAGUCGUAAUUUAGCCGCUCUGGACGUAAAUUAGACUAACCCUAUCGCUAGCCACUCUAGGCGUAGACUUGGUCGUACGAAUCGUAGCUCAGUCUACGGUUAAAUUCGCGAAAAUAAACUAAACUUUACAACUAAUAGUAAGUCGCAAUAUCGAUUAACAAAUUCGAAAGAUAACAAAUAUGUCGAAAGAUAACUAUCAAUCCUAAGACUCUAGAGUUGUAGUUUUGCUCCAGCCAAGGUGACGGAGCAACUUUUUGUCCCAUACCAAAGAUGUAACAAUGAGAUGGGGUGAAAAUUUAAAAACGUUUACUAAUCUAUUAAGGCCGUAGCGACAUGAUAGAUUUUGAUUUGUGGUGGGUACUUAGAACCUCUUGUGGUUGGGUUCACUUGUCCCUAUCAACUACCUAGGACUCUGCUUUUAGACCCUAAUGCGUGGUUGAACUCUGGCCAUGAUGACAGAGCAACUUUUUGGACCCAUAUCUGGGCUGAAGUGAUCAUAAUGUGUUUAAAGAUAAUUUUGAUCUAUUAAGGCAAUAGCGACAAAAUAGAUUCAUAAAGUGGGGUGCUAGCUAGAGUCGUAGGUAGAUGAUAAAUCUAAAUUUUAUUAAAAGAUGUAAAUUACAACAGUAAGAUUUGUAAUUUUUAAACUAACACAUAGACUAAGAGGCUCUAACGUGCUUAAUACUAAGUGCGAUGUUGCUGUACGUUGUCCGUGUGCCAGAUGCAAGGACUUUUGGGUGACAGCUUAUUCCUAUUCCUCUUAGUUAUGCUAGCCUUUCUGUUGGUCUACCACCAGAUAGCAUAUGGAUGGUUUUCCGUGGGUGAUCUUCCCUAUUGUCACUGUCUGGUGAAGGAGAGCGUGGGCGCUUCCCAUUCACGUCAGACUUGCAAUUGUUUCGAUCCCGGGAUCCUUUGACCAGGCUGUCAAGUUCGCCGUUCGAAAUUAAUUGCUCGACAUAAAGCGAGAAUUCCCUGCAAUAGUCUGUCAGAUGGUCGUGGUCCUUGUGGAAUUCACAGAAUUUUCCACUUUUCUGGCGGCGAUCCUUGGUUGCAGGGUUCAUAGAGCGAGGAGCGGGCAGAUCCGCUCUGUUCUUCAGUUUUUCAAACAGCUCGCCUUUGCUGAUUGUUAGUGGGGUCCGGUUCCUCCAAGGUUGAGGUGGACCCCUUGGCGAUCGUUUGACGGAUAUUUGAUACACUUUGUUAUCAUGUUUAGGCUUCCAAUCCUUUCUGAAGGAAUCAGCCGCAUUGCUAGUGUAUCUGUUCGAGGAGUCAUUGUAGCUCUUUCUCUCGAACUUUUGUUUUUUGAAGCUAGUGUUCUCGAGUUCCACUAGCUUGUUUUCAUUCUGCUCUUCCACCUCAAUGAAUGACUGAGCUCGUUGGAAGAGGUCGGGUAAGGUCUCCACUUUGUGGAGUGUGAGAUUCAGGGCCAGAGGGGAGUAGGGUACCAGCACGUUUGUAUACCCCGCAAUGGCCAAACUUGGGAUUAAGUCGCUCACUUCUGUCAUCAUUGAAGUGAACUUAAACGUGUAAUCCCUUAGAGACAGUUUGUCCUGUCGUAGCGCCAAUAGUGCAUUGACGCUGUGUUUGAUCCUGAUCAUCCCCACAUGCUGGGCGAUGAAUUUGGAUGCGAGGUCUGCAAAGCAGGAAAUUGAUCCGGCUGGCAGACCAGAAAACCAUCGAUAGGCAUUGCCCUUAAGAGUGCCGGGGAAUGCUCGACACAGCAGUGCGUUAUCAGUGGUUUGCGGUUCCAGAACGCUGAGGUAGAGGUUGACGUGAUCUUGUGGAUCACUCGAACCAUCGUACGAUUCUAUUCUGGGUACCCGCCAGGUUGGUGGAAAGGCCACCUUCAAAAGGUCCUCUUGGAAAGGAGCGCUUUUGACUCUUAAGAACUCGAUCGGAUUGCUGAUGACUAGAGUGUCAGCCAGCUUCCGACGGAGGUCCUCUACGAAUCGUGUUGUAAGAGUCCUAUCAGUGCGACUCUUACUGGGUCCAGCUCUUAAUUUUUCUGGCUCUGGACCUUUCUUUUUCUCCGUAGUUGGAGAAUUGUGAGAAGCCGAUUUGGUAAGACAUGCCUUAUUACACCAGUCACUACCCAUCAACGCCUCUCAACAAGGACUAGGGCUCCGUCGCUAUGGCAGGACCCCCGGAGAGCUCCCACGGUGCGGAACACGUUCAUCGUCCAGAUCGCCGAGUUAGCCCGUAAAGUCGCCCGAUUGGACUACCAAGUCGCCGAGUUAAGGCAAGAUCGGCAGUAUGGUAGACUGUACGUCUUGGCCCUAGAAACUCGCCGAGUUAGCCCUUAACUAGGUGACUUCCAUACCUGAAUCGGCGACUUACGACCGUUACUCGGCGACAGCCAACGUCAUAAAUGUUACCAUAUAUGACCAUAGGCGCGAUCUCCGCCGAUGAGUGCGCCCUCCGAGACCCUAUAAAAGGGGUCCCAAGGGGACACUCAAAGGCACGAUUCAAGUUCCACUCUCACACCAGAGCACUACACUACGAAACUCGGCGAGUCUCAUUAGAAUCGCCUAGUUUCCACUUGCAGGUAUUUGACGUAGAGCGUGCGUCGUGGACUCCAAAGCCUCCGGCAUCAACCUCGCACCACUGCGAGCCCUGGUAGCAGAUUCAGUGCUUCAUCAGCUGACGCCGUCUGUGGGACUACCGAACCACCGGUAUCCCGUCGUAAUCGCGAUUUUUUAAAAAUCCGGCUCGAGCUCUCCCAAGAGUUCGCCGAGUUUGUCAAAAAAUCGCCUACUUAGAUCGUCCGAUUCUCGGUUAACGUCCGAUUUAGCCUUAAAUCGCCGACUUAUCCUUGAGAAUCGCCCGAUCCGGAAUAUCGUCUGCUAGCUAAGAGUGUUGUCCACGACCUUGUUCGGAAAAACCCCUAACUCGCCGAGUUAACACUUAACUCGCCGACUUAGCUCUUGUUUUCCCAACAGGCUCAGUCAGGUACCUCUCUGCUUUGGUACUUCCUCGCUUUCGCUUUCAUGGCAAUCAUCGAAAAGCAGAAGCACCCUUACGCCACAAGAAGUAAGGGGAAAAUGCCAGCAACUGAGCUGGAACAGGGUGAGCAAUCCCGACCUAAGGGACCCAUCAAUGCUCAACCUGUGGAAACAAACUCGGUUCCUCCUCCUGUCGAGGAACACAUUAUGCCCAAGGCUCCACCCACCUUGGAAGAAAGGUUGUUCAGUUUCAUGGACAACAUUGAAAGAAGGAUGACUAACCUCGAGCAAGCGAGGAGUCAUAGGACCACCACCAUCCGUGAAAGAACGGACGAAUCUGGGUCCAUCUAUUCUCCAUCUGCGGAGAAAAAACAGAGUUCCCGUCCCAAGACGGGACCCAGUAAGAGUCGCUCCGAGAGGACUCUUACUACUCGGUUCGUAGAGGAUCUUCGGCGGAAGUUGGCCACCGACCCAGCCGUCGGCAACACGCACGAAAUCCUGAGGGUUAAAAGUCCUCCUCUUAGCGAGGACCUUUUAAAGGGAGUUUUCCCACCCAACUGGCGGGUACCAAGAAUCGAGGCAUACGACGGUUCAAGUGAUCCAGAAGAUCACGUGAACCUCUACCUCAACGUCUUGGAACCGUAAACCAUCGAUGAUGGGCUGCUGUGUCGGGCAUUCCCCGGCACUCUCAAAGGCAGCGCUUAUCGAUGGUUCUCUGGUCUGCCAGCUGGCUCAGUCACCAGCUUUGCAGACCUCUCAUCCAAGUUCAUCGCCCAACACGUGGGGAUGAUAAGGAUUAAACAUAGUGCCAACGCACUCCUGGCACUGAGACAGGACAAACUGUCUCUGAGGGACUAUACGGUCAAGUUCACCACAAUGAUGACAGAGGUGAACGACCUAAUCCCGAGUGUGGCCAUAGCGGGAUACAUUAGAGGAUUAGUCCCCUACUCCCCUCUGGCCCAAAAUCUGACUCUCUACAAGGUGAGUUCUCUGCCCGAACUCUUCCAACGCACUCAAUUGUACAUUGAGGUGGAAGAGGAGGACGAGAACAAGCUAGCUGAACUUGGGACUCCUAACUUCCAAAAGCCUAAGUUUGAGAGGAAGGGGUACAGUGGAAACAACAAUUUCCACGACACCUCCAACAAGUAUACCAGUAACAAGGCCGAGACUUCCAAAAAAGAAUGGAAGCCUAGGCAUGAUAACAAGAUAUACCAAGCCUCAACCAGCAAGCCAAAGGGUGUAAUUCCACUAUGGAAAAGAAACACCCCGCUUACUAUCAGAAAAGGCGAGCUGUUUGAGAAGCUAAAGAACCGAGCGGACCUACCUGUCCCUCGUUCUUUAGACCCUGCAGGCAAAGAGGGUUGCAUGCAAUCUGGGAAAUACUGUGAAUUUCAUAAAGACAGCGGCCACCUAACAGAUAACUGCAGGGAGUUCUCGUCUUUCGUCGAACAGUUGAUCUCAAAGGGAGAACUUGGCAACUUCGUCAAGAACUCCCGAGGACGGGACAACUGCAAAUCUGACACAAAGGGGAAGCGUCCGCGCUCUCCUUCGCCAGACACUGACAACAGCGAGAACCGCCAGCGGAAGACCAUCAAUAUGAUAUUUGGUGGUGGAUCCGUUGGCCAGAACAGGGGAUAUUCCCGAAAGGUGUUGAUGUCACAGUCAACACCUCGAGACAACGGAAAGCGGUAACAACUUGGAGCUAUCUUAAAAAGGAUACAUUAAAGAGUAACAAAAAUGAUAUUGGAUGGUUCUAUUCCAUUUCCAUCUUGAGAAAAGACAUAAUUGUGAUACAAUGUUCUUCAGAAGAUCGAGAAUACAACUUGUACGUCCCUGUUCUUUUAUUAUUUGGUUAUUUACAGUCUAUGGUUUCUAGUCCUUGAUAGAUGUUAGAUAUUUAAUAUUAUUUAUCUAAUAUAGGUUUUAUCUAUUUUUGUGGAUUUCUUUGUCGUUUUCUUUACAUGUCGAUUUUUAUUUAUUCUUAUUCUAUUAAUAGGUUAAUAAAUUCUUGUUCUAUUUGAAGAAGAGAGUUUCCCACCUCUUCCUCAGGUACGUACCUUCUCCAAGUUAUAAGGGACCUGAUGGAGGUCAUUGAAUUCUUAGUCUACCCUCCUCCAUUAUAGUCUGGGGCAUAGAUGGGCAGGAAGGGGAAUCAUCUUUAAAUGGAGGUGAUUGCCACCACUAAGUCAGACUUUAUCACAUUCCGGUGAUGGAUAUACACUUCCGAUGUUAUAAAAUCAUAUAUAAAAACCAACAUUGUCUCUGAUACCAAAUGAUAGAAAUUAUCAUACUUUAUUAUCUAUGAUUUUUAUAUCAAGAAUGUAAUGUACUUACAGAUUCAAACGCAACUUGUGUUGAAUCCAUUACAACGGAAGUACAUACUUGAUCUCUGUAUGUUUCUUUUGCCUUUCUUCUGAGAUUUUCUCUUUUUUGGGAUUCCUGAGACUUGUCUCUAUUGGAUGUCUUCUUUUGGACUAGUAGAAUAGACGAUGUUUCUUUAACCCUCAUAUCUUAUUUAUAUAAAAGCAAUGGGUUAUUUACACAUUGAUCCAUAUAUUGAUACUCCCACUUGAUCUACUACACAUAUAUUAACCUUUACUCAACCAUAUAAACAAUCUUUAAUGCAUGCUUUGUUUAUUUUUCUUUUUAAGUCUACACUCGGUCUCAUAAAGACAACAAUAAUAAAUCACAGCGUCACUAUGUCUAAAUGUGCAACAUAGAAACUUCUGUGUAUCACAUUACGUUCGUCUUUAUUAACAUUAGCUUCAUGUGGUAGUGCAGCAAACUGAAUGAUACUUUAUAUAUGUAUCAUUUUAUUGUCAGUCCUCUGUAAUCUAAUCCUUAUGGUGAGCCCAUACUCACACUAGACAUUAUUUAUGAUUCUCAUGAACCUUAAUCAAUUUAUGUAUCAUUUUUCUUCUUUAUUGUGAAAUACAUCACACAAAAAAAAAAUGUAUACCUACUAUAUUAUUUUCUCAUCUUUAUUGUAAAAACCAUCACAAAAGAAAAUUUUAACUUUAUAAUUUCAUUUUUAUUGUGAAAAUCAUCACAAGAGUAAAAUUUAACUUUAUAAUCUCAUCCUUAUUAUGAAAUUCAUCACCGGAGACCUUGUUUAAUUUCUUAAUUCAUUCUCACAAAUUAAUCAGAGUUAAAUAAGAAAUUGACAAAUCAUUUAUUAAAAUACAAUUAUUGAAGUUUUGAUAAUCUAAUAAAUAAAUUAAAUCUGAGUAUAAAUAAUAAUAAUAAAUUAUUACAAGAUUGAAAAUAUAAAAUAUUACAUAUGGAAAUAAAAUUACUUUCACUUAAACGAUGACAUCCCAAGAACCCAACAAACUCAUUGCUAAAAUAUGUGAAUUUAGUAUGUUAGGUUGUCCUUUAGUGAGUGGAUCAGCUAGCAUAUCAUUAGUACUAAUAUGACCGACUAUGAUAUCAUUUUCUCUACCUUUUUCUUUGAUUUUUAGAUACUUCAAUUUUAUAAACUUUGUAGACGUGACACUUUUGUUGUUGUUAAUACUCAACACUGUCGAAAGGUUAUCACAGUAUAUUUGAAUUGGUCUUUCAACAAAAUUGAAAACUUUCAAUUGUUGAAUGAAACUUUUUAACCAACUUGAUUGAAUUGAAACUCCAAAGCAUGAAAUAAAUUCAGCUUCCAUGGUUGAUGUGGCUAUUAACUUUUGUUUUUCACUUCUCCAAGAUACAGCACCACCUGCCAUUUUGAAGAUAUAACCAGAGGUUGACUUCUUUUCAUCUUUACAUCCAGCAAAAUCUGAGUCUAAAUAUCCAACUAGAUUCAAGUUUUCAACUCGAGUAUAUGUUAAUCUAUAAUUUCGAGUACCUUUUAAAUAUCUCAAAACUUUCAUCGCAACAACCCAAUGAUCCAAGCCUGGAUUAACUUGAUAUCUUCCUAAGAGUCCAACCAUAAAUACAAUAUCUGGUCUAGUGCAUACCUGAGCAUACAUUAGACUUCCAUAAAGAAAUGCUUUCAUUUCAUUCUUCUGCAAGUUUGUUAGAGGACAUUGAGCUAAAUUCAAUUUAUCACCUUUUACAAUUGAAGCAACACUUGACUUACAUUCUGAGAGAUUAAACCUUUGUAAUAUACGAUCGAUGUAAGCUGAUUGAACAAGACCUAACAAAUGUCUAGAUCGAUUUCUGUUGAUCUCAAUACCAAGAACAAAAGAUGCUUCACCCAAAUCUUUCAUAUCAAAUUCACUUGAUAAGAAUUUCUUUGUUUCAAAUAAUAUACUUAAAUCGUUGCAAGCAAGUAAUAUAUCAUCAACGUAUAGAACAAGCAAAACAUAUUUGCUCCCUCUGACCUUGUGAUAUAUACAUGGAUCCAUGAGAUUUUCCGAAAAACCAUAUGAAGAAAUGAUUUCAUGGAAUUUAAUAUGUCAUUGUCUUGAUGCUUGUUUAAGUCCAUAUAUAGACUUUUUAAGUCUAUAAACAAGCUUGUCAUUUUCUUCAAAACCUUGUGGUUGCGUCAUAUAUAUUUCUUCAUUGAGAUUCCCAUUAAGAAAAGCGGUUUUAACAUCCAUUUGAUGUAGUUCUAGAUUGUAGUGAGCCACUAAAGCCAUAAUGAUUCUAAAAGAAUUCUUCGAGGAAACUGGUGAAAAUGUUUCAUGAUAUUCAAUUCUCUCUCUUUGAGUGAAUCCUUUGGCAACCAAUCUAGCCUUAAACCGCUAAAUCUUUCCUCUGGAAUCUCAUUUGGUUUUAAAAGCCCAUUUGCAACUCACAACUUUAACACCCUCAGGUAACUGAAUAAGUUCUCAUUCUUUAUUAUGGUACAUAGACUGCAUCUCAUCUUUCAUUUCAUCUUGCCACAAAUCACAUUGUGCACUUGCAACCGCUUGAUCAUAUGAGAUAGGGUCAACUGUACUACUACAACCAAUGUCAUAGUCGUAUUCUCCUAAAUAAACUUCAUAAUCAUUAGGGAUAGCUGAUCUUCUUUCUCGUGUAGACCUCCUUGGUUCAAUAACUAGUGGAUCUGCCGGUGUAAUAAUUGGUUCAUCAACUUGAGCAAUAACUAGUGUGUCAACGGAUGUCACUGAAGAUGUGGUUGGUGUAAUCGAAAAUAAGGGUAUAACUACUGUUGAUGGUUGAUGGUCCAAUGAAUUAGAAACCUCUGAAGUAUUAACAUCUGCUACAUCAUUUUUUAAGAAUUUUGCUGUUCGAGAAUCUACAAUUAUUGUUCCACCAUGAGGUCUAUAAAAACGAUAUCCCUUAGAAUGAUUCGGAUAUCCCACAAAAUAGCAUGUCACUGUUCUUGAAUAUAACUUGUUUUAUGUUGGAUUGUAUAAUUUCACCCCUACAGGAUAACCCCAAAUCUUCAAAUGAUUUAAACUAGGUUUUCUACCUGUCCAAAGUUCAAAAGGUGUAACUAGUACUGACUUACUUGGGACUCGAUUCAAAAUAUACAAUGCUGCUUGUAUUGCUUCACCCCACAAGAAUGUUGGUAAAUUUGCUCUACUAGUCAUGUUUCUCACCAUAUCCAUUAGGGUACGAUUUCUUCUUUCUGCCGCUCCAUUCUGCUCAGGAGUUCCUGACAUAGUGUAUUGCCCAAUUAUUCCAUAUUCUUCCAAAUAUUGUGCAAAAGGACCUUUAAGUUGUCCAACAUCUCCAUGUUUACCGUAAUAUUCUCCACCUCUAUCUAUCUGAUCUAACAAUCUUUAUAGAUUUUUCCAAUUGUUUCUCAACUUCUGUUUUGAAUACUUUAAAUUUCUCUAAAGAUUCAUAUUUUUCUUUGAUAAGAAACAAAUGGCCAUAUUUAGAAAAAUCAUCUAUAAAUGUUAUAAAAUAUAAGCAUCCACACAAAGUUUUAUGAUAUGGUCCACUAAUAUCCGUAUAAAUAAUCUCCAAAAGACUAGUGUUACGAGUAGCAGUCUUUUUCCCUUUCUUGGUCAUUUUCCUCUUAAGACAAUCAAUACAUUCUGCAUGGUCAUUAUCUAAAGAAGGAAGAAUGGUCGAUUUAACCAAUCUUUUAAUUCUAUCUUGUGAAAUAUGAUCUAACCUUUUAUGCCAUAAUAUAUAUGAUUUUUCUUUAUUUAAGGGUCUUUUGGAAACUGUAUUUUCCACAUUAUAAGCUAUAUAGAUCUUCAUAGAAUCAAGACAUAAUCUGUAUAGGUCAUAAGACAAAACACAAUUACCCAUAAUCUUUGAGUUAAGAAACAUUGAAACUGUAUUGUUCUUAAAUUCAAAAGAAAAACCAUGUUUGCUUAAUUUACUAACAGAAAUUAGAUUCCGUCUAAACGACGGAACAUACAAAGUGUCUUUCAAUGUUAAACCAAAUCCUAAAUCUAGAUUUAAAAUAACAUCGCCCACAAAUUCUACAUCAGUUUGUCCAUCAUUUCCUACGAACAAUCUUGAUUCAUCCUGAUUUGGCUUCCUUCUAUUUGUGAAUCCCUGUAUGGUGAAUGCAACAUGAUUAGUUGCUCCACUAUCCAACCACCAAGAACUAGAUGAAGAUUCUAUUAAAUUAGAUUCAUAAACUAAUGUCAAAGAAUCAAUACCUUUUUGUUCCUGUUUUAUGAGCCAAGAUUUAUACUUUAAGCAAUUCUUCUUUAUGUGUCCCGGUUUCUUACAGAAGAAACAUCCAUUAAUUGCUUUCUUGAGGGAGUUCUUGUUAGGACCAAAUUUGUCAGAUAAGUUGGUAUCCUUAGAAUCUUUAUUUUUCACAAACUUUUUGAACUUAAAUCCUUUCUUAUUUGAACUAUACAUUGUUAUCGAAAAUUUUUCGCCUUUUAUUUUAUCCCCCAUUUCUCCAAAUAAUUAUUUCUUUUAAUUCGAGCCCAGGCUCGCCGGUUCGAGCCCGGGCCCGAGCCUGACAAUUCUUAAAAUGAGCCGAGCCUGAGCCUGGCUCUAUAAGCAAAAGCUCGACUUGUUUGACACCUUAAUCUCAGAUAAAUAUUCCGAGAAUAUUUUGCCACUUAUCUUCAAAUUCUGAAGUUUUUUGGCGUAGACUCAUCACAUGCGAUCGAGAAUUAGAUGCAAAUUGCAUUUGAAAUGUUUCUCAUACCUCAUGUGUCGUAGCACAAUCAGAGACUUCCGACAGUACCGAGAGUGAAAUUGAUGAAAAUAGCCAUCCUAAAAUCAAUUGAUCUUGCUUGAUGGCAAGAGAGUUGUCCAAUUUUUCCCUACCGGCCAGAUAGUCCAUCAGCUCAUGACCUCGGAUAUUAGCCCCAAAUUGGGCUCUCCACGCGAAGUAGUUGCUGCGGUCUAGGGCUACAGUCUUGAAGUUCUUGGCGGUCACCUUUCCUGGUGCAUCGUUGCCAUAGAGCUUCUUUGCAGCCAGCGAAAUCCCUUUGUCAGCUUCGUCAAUCGACAUUGCGUAUCGGAAAAAAAUUGUGAUCGUCAACGAUUUUGGAGCGAUUCCGAUGAUCAGAGAUGUGCGGCUUCCCAAGAUCAGCUAAGCGAAAGAUACCAUAACAGUGAAUUGAAAUAUAUGAAUGGGGAAAGCCAAACUCGAUCCUUUUCAUAUUCAAUAGUAAGAUCUAUUUAUACAAUUUGUUACUCUAAUAUCCUAUUUGUUUGUUCUUUUGUAUUAUCGAUAUUUAUUGUCUAUUUUUUAUAAUGUUCUUGUCUAUUUUUAUAUUUACAGUCUAUGGUUUUUAGUCCUUGAUACUUGAUAGAUAUUUGAUAUCUAUUAUAUAUUUUAUCUAUUUUUGUGGUUUCUUUGUCGUUUUCUUUAUUGAUUUUUAUUCAUUCUUGUUCUAUUAAUAGGUUACCAAAUUCUUGUUCUAUUUGAAGAAGAGAGUUUCCCAUCUCUUGCUCGGGUACCUUCUCCAAGUUAUAAGGAACCAGAUGGAGGCCAUUGAAUUGUUAGUCUACCUUCCUCCAUUGGAGUCUGAGGCAUAGAUGGACCGAAAGUGGAAUCAUCUAGCUUUAGAUGGGGGAGGAGAGCACGACUUGUGCUAGAACUUCUUCAAGAAAUUUGACAAAUUUACGCUUCUCAACCUUACUCAUGGCUCUCGCGUCUUGAUGUUACAAGAGUUGCUCGUGGAGGGUACGUAAGGCUAUCCCCAACUGAAUCUUUGACUGGGGGAAAGAUGAUUCCGUCAGGGAAUUUGAUGUAAAAAUUCGAAAAACAAACAUAUAACAUUAUUAUUAGAGGAAACGUUUCAAAUAAAAUAUUUAAAAUAAUAUAUAUUUUGUGAAAUAUUAAUUUAGAACGUUCAUUUAUUUUAAAUUAAAUUAAACACAUCUUAAGGUAGAUCAUAUCAUUUAAUUAGUGGAAUGUUUUAGAGAUUAAUUUUAUACCAUUUAAAUGAAAUAAAAGAGUACUUAUACUAUUACAACAUUUGUAAUUAAUUAAUUAAUUAAUUCUAAAGGAUUUUUAAUAUAAAAAUUCUAAUUGGAGCAGCGGUCUUCCGCUUCUCUCUCCGGCUCGGACCCGGUUCAUCACCGUUGGGUGAUUUUUGUUUACCGUGGUCUUCCCCCAAUUAAGUUAGGAUUUAGGUCGUCUUCUUCAACAACAACUCUUCUAAUCGUCGUGCUAUCUUCCUGGAUAGUGGAGCAGUCUAUCAGCAUCAUAUCAUCGUCGGCUUCUUCAGAUUCGGCAUUGUCUUCAAUGUUGAUAGGAGGGAAAAGACGCAACACAUCUUCAUGAAAUUCCCAAGACGAGUCCUCCGGUAUCGCUCCAUUCCAAGCGACCAGCCAUUGAUUUCUCUGUCUCGAUCUCACCCUGAAAAAUGGUACGUUUAUUAGAAUAAAUAACUUCUACUGUUUUUUUAGUUGAGUUUAAUAUUCUCAAAUACAAUUAAGUUUAUACAAUGAGUUAGUUGUUAGAGGUUAAUUAGUUUUAGAUACUCUUUCUUAUAAAUUCUUUUGUAAGACUGUAUUCUUGGUUAAUGAAUUAAGUUCUUUCUUUUGAGAUUAUUGUUGAAUUGAGCUUGAAACAAGCACCAAAAUCUUGGUACUCAAGACUGAGUGCAUUCCUAAUAUUAAAUGAAUUCACUAACAGUCUGGCAGAUACAUUAUUGUUUCAAAAAAAAGAUAAUAUUUUAAUUUGAGUAAUUGUGUAUAUAUAUAGAUGACAUUAUAAUUUCAAGAAACAACAACAUUGAAAUUGAAGUUUUUAUUAAAAAUCUUUGUACUGAAUUUAGAUGUAGAGACCUAGGACUUUUGAAAUAUUUCUUUAGUAUAGAAAUUAGAUACAAUUUUGAUGGGUCACUUAACAUGACUCAACCUAGAACUUUUGGACUGGUCCAUGUUCCGAUCUUUAAAUAUAAAAAGGGUUUUGUAAAUUUGAUUUUGGUUGUAAACACGAAUCAUCUUGUAGGGUUUCAGCGGGAAAUGAGGGUUUCACUGGAGGCAAGGGUUUGCUGGAGGCAAUCGUUCGGGUAUGUUUCUAGUCUUCUUCUUUUGUGCAUGUCGCUCUAUUCUUCUUGUGUAUGUUGUCUUUGGUUGGGUAUCCUUAUUCAUUUGUAUUCUUAAUGGGUUUUGUAGUGGGUGUUCUGUCUGUUAAUGUGUUUGCAUGUCAGUGUUUUCUUUCAUGGUGUUUGUUUUCCUUCAUCCUUUGUGUUUGUUUUCCUCUAUCAGUCUGUUCCGUGUAAGUUUUCCAUAUUCAGUUUCUUUUUGAGAUGAUUGAAUAGAUAUCCUGUAACAUCUUUUGUGAAGAUGUCUUCCACGUUUUCUUUGGUGUUUACCCUUUCUAUUUCAAUCUCUUUUUGCAAAGCUUUGUCUCUGAUCGUGUGUGUAUCGAUUUCUAUGUGUUUUGUUCUUUGAUGUAAGACUGGGUUUGUUGCGAUUGCAGUUGCAGAGGAACUAUUUGUAUAGAGUUUUGGAGUUACUAUAUUUACAUGCAUUUCCUUUAAUAGUUGUUUUAGCCAUGUGAUUUCACAAGUUGUGUGUGCUAAGGGUCGGUACUCUUCCUCUGCUGACGAUCUUGCCACUGUAUGUUGUUUUUUGGUUUGCCAUGAAACUAGGUUAUCAUUCAAGAAGAUGGCAAAUCCUGAUGUGGAUCGUCUGGUUGUGGGGCAAGAGGCCCAGUCAGAGUCUGAAAAUACUUUAAUCCUUCAGGUUCUUGUGCCUGAUGAGAAGAAAAGUCCACUUCCUGGUGAGUUUUUAAUGUAUCUUAAUAUUUUGUUCACCUUAGUAGAGUCUUCAUUUGUUGGUUCUGACAUGUGUUGGCUUAGUUGGUUUACUACAUAUGUUAUAUCGGGUUUGGUUACAGUUAGGUAGACAAGUUUUCCAACUAUGCAUCUGUACUCAGUAGGAUCAUCAAGUAAUUUAAUUUCCUUGUUCUGUUUGUUUGGCGAUCUUGAUGGUGUAUAGAGUGGGUAUUCUCCUGGUUUAGCAUGUAGAUAGUUGUUUUGUUCAAGGAUUUCUAAUUCAUAUUUUCUUUGGCUAAUAAAAAUCCCAUGUUGUGUUGUUGUGAAUUCUAAUCCUAAGAAUUUUUUUAAUGUUCCUAGAUCUUUGAUGUUAAAAAAACUGGUUAAAUCUGUCUUAAGUUUGAUUAUUUCUUUUAAGUUAUUUCCUGUGAUUAAUAGAUCAUCUACAUAUGGUAGGAUGAAAAUUUUAUUUUUCCCAUUGAUCUUACCGAAGAGAGCAUAAUCCUCUCUUGUCUGUUUAAAACCUAAUUUGUUUAGUACUUGUUGUAGUUUGUUAAACCACAUUCUAGAUAUUUGUUUUAAGCUAUAUAGAGGUUUUGUUAAUUUGCAUGCUAGUUUGUGGUUAUCUGUUGGUUCUUUGUUGAUCCUUAGACCUUGGAGAAUGUCCAUAUGUAGACUUCUUCAUUUAAGUCUCCAUGUAAGAAGGUGGUGAGACAUGCCUGAUUACGGCAGUCACUCCCAGCAACGCCUUUCAACAAGGACUAGAGUUCCGUCGCUUUACCCCCGGAAGGCUCCCACGGUGCGGAACAAGUUCAUCGUCAAAUCGCGAGUUAACCCAUAAAUCGCAAUUGGACUACCAAAUCGCCGAUUUUAGGGACAAAUCGUUGAGUUAGGUCCCAGAUAGGCAGUAUGGUAGACUGCAUAUCUCGCCCCUUGAAACUCGACUAGUUUACCCUAAUAGGCAAUUUUCAUACCUGAAUCGUCGAUUUACGACCGUUACUCGCCGCCAGCCAACGCCAUAAAUGCACCCAUAUAUGGCAAUAGGCGCGAUGUCCGCCUUUGAUCGCGCCCUCCGAGACCAUAUAAAAAGGGUCCCAAGGGGACACUCAAAGGCACAACACAAGUUCCACUCUCACCAGAGCACCACUAAGAGAAUCGCCGAUUCCCACACCAGAAUCGCCGAUUCUCUCCUUUCAGGUAUUUGACGUAGAGCGUGUGUCGUGGACUCCAGAGCCUCCGCGAGCCCUGGUAGCAGAUUCUGUGCUUCAUCAAUCCUUCAGUGGAUGCUAGGGAGAUAAGUGUUCUUAGUGUGGUCAUUCUAGAAACUGGUGCAAAAGUUUAUGUGCAGUCUAUCCCCUCUGUUUAGUUAUAGCCCUUGGCAACCAAUCUAGCUUUGAAUUUGUCUAGGCUUCCAUCAGCCUUAAGUUUUGUCUUAAAAACCCAUUUGCAAUCUAUGAUUUUUGUCUCUCUUGGUACUUCAGUGAUUCUCCAAGUGUUGUUUUGUUUUAGUGCAUUUAUUUCAUUGCUUCUUGCCAGUGUGAUACUUGGCUUGCUUUUUGUAAUUUUUAGGUUCUAUGUGUUCUGAAAUUUUAAUUAGAAAUGCUCUGUGUUUUUCCGAAAAUUUGUUGUAGUUGAUGUGGUUGCUUAUUGGAUAUUUUGUUGUGUUGUAACAAACGUAGUCAUCCAAUUUUGUGGGUCUCUUUCUCUCUCUUGUGGGUCUUUCAGGCUUUUCUCUCCUAUUGUUUCAUCUUCUACAUGGUUGUUUGAGUUUUCAGAGUUUUGGUUGUCAUGAUUUUGUUGAAUUGCUUGGUCUUGGAUUUGUGUUCUCAUUGUUGAACUUGAUUUCAGUAUCUAUAAGGAGGAUCCCAUUUUCCUUUUCUUCUAUGUUUUUGAAAGGGAAGAUAUUUUCAUGGAAUAUUACAUCUCGGUUGAUAAUUAUUUCAUUGUUUUUAAUAUCGAGAAUCUUGUAUCCUUUUGUUAAUGUAGAAUACCCUAGAAAUACCCCUUUUGUGGCUCUGGCCUCAAAUUUAUUUGUCGGUUUAUUGAUUUUUGAGUAGCAAAGACAUCCAAAUUUUUUGAGACUUUCAUAUGAUGGUUCUUUUUGGAAGAGUCUGAAAUAAGGGGUUUCAUUAUUGAUGGUUGGUGAGAACAUUCUAUUUAUGAGAUAGCAAGCAGUUUGGAUGCAUUCUCCCCAGUAAGUUGUUGGAACUUCAGAUUGGAAUAUUUAGCAUCUAGUUAUGUCUAGGAUGUGUUUGUGUUUUCUUUCUACUAUUGAGUUUUGUUAUGGGGUGUAGAGGCAAGUGAGUUGGUGUUUUAUUCCAAAGCCCUAUAGAAAGGUUUGGAGGUUUACGUUAAGGAAUUCAGUACCAUUAUCGGUUCUGAUUGUUUUCACAGAAGUGUCAAAUUGGUUGAUUGCUUUUGUGAUGAAAUGUUUUAGUUUUCCUGGUGUUUCCCCUUUAUUGUGUAAUAGUAUUAUCCAGGUGGCUCUACUAAAGUCAUCCACUAUGGUGAUGAAGUAGUGGUGACCAUUGUAUGUUGGUGUUCUGCAUCUUCCCCACAAGUCAAUAUGUAGUAAUUCAAAAAAAUUCGUAGUUUUGGAAGUACUUGUAGAAAAUGAUAAUCUAAUAAAUUUUGCAGUUGGACAUUCAUUACAUAAAAUAUUUUUAAACAUAGGAAUAGAUGGAUUGUUUUUCCUAAUUAGAUUGUAUCUCAAAAUUAAAGAAUGUCCUAGCCUUCUAUGCCACAGCUCUGCAUUUUUUUGAGCUGAAUUUACCCAUACUUGUCCUUCUUUCGUUUCUUCAGAUGAUAGGAUGUAGAGUCCUUUCCUUUUAACCAUAGAAAUCGAAUUCAUCUUCGAAUCCUGUAUUAGACAGUGGUUAUUAUAGAAAACGAAAAAGCAGUUAAUUGAAUUUGUCAGCUUUGUGACAGAGAUCAAAUUAACAUUGAAAUUUGAAAUUUUUAACAUUGGAUCUAGUGUUAAUUUUUCAUUCAGGGUGAAUGUUCCAACCUCGUGCAUAAUUGCUAUGUGAGAGUUUGGCAUAUGGACCUUAAUAGGAUGGUUAAGUAUCCUUAUGUUGGAUAGCUGGAUUACCGGACCACACAUGUGGUAUGUGGCUCCACUAUCUAUCACCCAUUCAUUUUGUCUAUUCACUGUUGAAAUGAAGCAGUAAGAUUGUGUACCUGAUUUUUCUAUGUCAUGGGUUGUAGAUCUUCCCACGUUUGCAGAGUGUUUAGGUUUGUUUUGUCAUUGUAGCAUGGACAUGAGUUGCUCAAUGGUGUAGCUUGGUUGUCCUUCUGAAUAAUUGACUCUAUUUCUUGUGGGGUUUCAUGGUGAUCUUCUUGGUUGUAGUUAUCUUGGUAAUUGUAGUCUUCCCAGUUUUGUUGUUCUUGUGGCUCUUCUGAAUCCUCAGUGUAUGUGUUGUUUGCCCUGUAGUUUGCCUAUUGUAAUUCCUGCCAUACUGGUUUUUGUUUUCCCUUCUUGGGUAGCUAUUUGUUGGAUUGUAGGGUCUGUUAGGUCUCCUGAAAUUUUGUGAGUUAUUUCCAUUGUUGUAUGUUUGCCUUUCAGGGUAUCCAUGUACUUGGUAGCAAUUGUCAACAGUGUGCCCUGAUCUUUUGCAAUGUGUACAGAAGGGCCUUUCUCUUAUCUCUGGUUUUGAUGGUUUGUAAGGGUCAUUUGCCAGUAAGGUUGUUGUUACCUCAGUUGUGGGUACUGUGUGAUUUCUUUGCUGUUAUUCUUGUUUGAUUAUAGGAUAUAAUUCACCAAGUUUUGGGGUCGAUUUCUGAGCCAUUAGGACACCUCUAAUUGUUGUGUAGGUUUCAUUCAGUCCCAUUAAGAAUUUUACUGAUCUUGCAAAUUCAUCAGGGGGGUUAAUGUCUUCUUUGUUGGUGUCAUAUGUGCUCUAGAUGAGUUUAGUCAGUUUGGUGUAGUAUGUGCAUACUGAGUCUUGUCCUUGGUAGAGUGUGUAUGUUUGUACUAGGACAUCAUAAAGCAUUGCACCAUUUGAUUGGUUGUAUCUGAUUGCCAAUUCAUCCCAUAAUAUCCAUGGUUUGCUAGCUGUGAGAAAAGAUGGUUGUAGCUCUGGUGUGAUGGAGCUUAGUAAUCAAGAAUGUAUCAUAGUGGUGCAGGCCUUCCAUUUUCUAUGUUCCUUUGAAUAUGUUUCUUGGUCUGGUUCUGGUAUGACUCCAAGUAGGAACCCUAAUUUUGAUCUACCUUCUACUGCCAUUUCAAAAUGCUUUUUCCAUACUGGAUAGUUAUUACCAUCCAGUUUAAUAGUUACCAUAAAAUGUGAAGAGAAUUCUGAACUGUAGAUGUCAUCCUCUUUUGUUUUUGUGCUUUGUAUGUUUUGAUCAUCAUAUUCAGACAUUUUCUGCAGAUUCAUAAUUAGCUAAUUACGUGGAGUUUGUAGAAGGCGAAAAUUCUAAGUAGCAAAUGUGAAUGUGGAAGUUAAUACUAAGGAGUGUGUUGACCACUUGAUGGUCGAGGAAGAUGUUGAUCCUCCUCCUGAUCCUACUGAAGAUGAGGCUACAAUGAUUCGUAGGGCUACUAGAAAGAGGAACAGGGAGGAAGGAGAAGUGUUCCACGAUCCUUUCACAGUGUGGAUGGAUGACUGCUGGAGGAAAGGUAUUUCCCCUGACCUUAAUAAUGCACCUAGGUAUCGUGAUUAUAAAUGGGAAAAUGAUGAUGAGCUUCCACCUUGAGAUGGUCGUUUUGAUGAAAUGUUUAAUUCAGAUACAGAAGUUAAUGGAGGUAUCUAUGGAUUUAGUGAAGAUUCUGAGGUUGAUCGUCUCUAUGAUCGUGAGAUGUUGGGAGUGAGUGUGGACAUUGUAAUUGUUAUAAGUGAUGAUGAUGAUGAUGCUGAGGAUAGUGAUGCUUGGUAAUCCUGAUUAUAUGGAGUUGAUCUUCGACACUUGAAAGAACUGAAGAAAGAGAAUAAGGGUAAUGUAGAGCCAGACUAUGAGAAGUGGCUCAAGAUGAUACUUAAGAAGAAAUCGAAGUGAGGAUUUUCCUCAUCUUUUUGAAGUAAAGAAAAAAAACUUUAUAUAUUUUGUUUUCUCUUUGAGAAUAAAUACUUUCCCUUUUUUUUAUUAACCUAUUACUUGGGUUUGUUUUACUAUGGGGAUCUCAAUCGCUCUGAUACCAUGUUAAGUUUUAAUGUGUAUGAAAUAUAAUCCAAGUAUGGUUUAAUGAUUAAUCCAGAGUAAAGCAAAAUAGUGUUGAUGCAGCGGAUAAUAUUGAUUGUUUAAUUUAUCUAAUGAGUAUGAUCAAGAUGUGUUGCAGGUAGAUAAUGUUUGACAGGGAUGAUAUAUAUAUGAUUUGUCCAAGUAGAAGCGGAGAUAUGUGUAUGCAAUAGAUAUCAGGUAUGAUAUAUAUAUGAAAUGUAAGCAGAUGAUUUAGCAAUACUGAGAUCGUUUGGAGAGCGAGGAGAUGACGAUGUAGGAGAGUCGAUGAUUGAGUGUAGAGCAGAUCGGAGUGAAGUUGAUGAUGACUUUGAUCCACAGAUGAUGAUUCCCAAAGGGAGUAUGAUUUUGAAACUUAGUAUCACAAACUGUAAAACAAUGUUAGGUUUGAGUUUGAUCUAUAUAGAUGGUUUAAAUGUUUGAUUCCAGCUUACAACGGUCAUAAGCUCAAGGUUCAACUGGCGCUUGUUGUCCUGUUGCUGAAGGCAAAGGUGACAUCAAGUGAUGGUUGGACCUUCCUAAGAUUUCUAUCAUAUUAAAGGUUUAGGUAUUAAAUUGAUCAUGUAAGGGUUUAGAUUGUAAAUUGGUUAAUGAGGGUUCAUAUUGUAAAUGUUGUAAUUAUGGAUUUAUGUAAUAAUUUUAUAGAAACCCAGUUAUCAAAAAUAUGUCAAAACAUAUUGAGAGUGACAUCCAUUACAUUAGAGAAUUAAUUACAAAUAGUUUAAUAGUAGGAAAAUCUCCAUCCCUGUUCCGGACUGAAAUCCCCGUCCAUUUCCCUGCCCCGGAUAAUAUUCGUACCGUGGUAAAUUAUAUUUAUACCUUAUAUAAUAUCUUAUAUAGUAUAAUUUAUAUAAAUAACCCUAUAUAAUAUAUUAAAUGCAUAGGUUUAUAUUCAAAAUGUAUCCAUAAAAAAUUUAUAUUUAACCCUAAAUCCCUAAAAAUUUAAUUUUUAACUAUUUGGAUGAAUUGUGAUUUAGAGAUAAUAAAUAUAAAUUUAGAAACUUCUUUUUUAAUUAAUGAAUCCUCGAUUAAUUUUUCACGAUAUUUUUCUUUAAAUUUUUUUUCAUAUCGAUUUUUAAUUAUAUACUAACACCACAAUUUUAGAUUUAAUUUUUAGAAUUAUUCUUUUUUUAUUCUUUAGCUGGUUAGUUGCAAUUUUCAGUUUGAAAAUAACCAUUUUAGAAUAGAAAUGAGCAUUUCUCUCUCUCUCACCCAUUUUUUUCUUUCAAAACAACUAUAUAAUCAUCGAUAGAUAUCAAUCAAUCUAUUGAAAGGAGAAAGAAGACGUGAGAUCUCGAUAGUUCUUUCGAAUUUUGAUUUUUCUUAGGUCAAGAAUGGUUCACGUAACCGAGAUGGAGGAAAACAAUUUAAGUGAGGUUGAUUGCUUUUCUUCUCAAAAUAAUUCGACCCAAGCAACCAAUUUUUUUCCACAGGUUUAUUUAUCAUUGUUUUAGAUUCUAAACAUUACAUUUGUUCUAUUUCCUUCUUAUUCUUUUUUCUUUUGUAUAUGACAAUUCUCUCAUUUCAUUUUAUAUUUUUAUUUAUCAGGGAUCAUCAACUCCAUUGUCUCAAAAUAAUUCGACCCAAAUAAUGAAUUCUUCUGGGCAGGUUUAUUUAUCAUUGUUUUAGAUUCUAAACAUUACAUUUAUUCUAUUUCCUUCUUAUUCUUUUUUUCUUUUGUAUAUGACAAUUCUCUCAUUUGAUUUUAUAUUUGUAUUUAUCAGAGAUCAUUAAGACCCCAAAAUAUACCUAGUAUUGAGCGUAACCGAAAUUCCCAUAGCCAUAGGCGUCGUUCCACACAAAAUCAUCAAUCUCGAAGACGUCAGCAAGUUGAUUGGGUUUCUUCAUUAAAGCAGUCGAUUGUUAUUCCUCCUUACCCUAUAAACCAAGCUAUUUAUCCUCCAUUUAAUGUUGUUCCUGCUCCCCUUCCGAUGGAAAUGAAUCAAUAUCCUUACCCAACAAAUUUUACUACUAGACAACCAUUCGUGAUGAAUUCUUGGCACGAUUGCAGAUAUCUACCAUUUCCUCGUCAUCAACCUUUUGGGUUUAAUCCUCUCAGUAACUUUUACAGACCACAAGAGCAUAACUCUAGUUGGACGUCAAUAAAUCCACAGAUACCUGGUAGACAUUUCAAUCAGGCACACCAACCUUAUCCAUUUUAUCCCUCAUGUAAUCCAUUCCAAAUGCGAAUUAUGAAUCAAAGACCUUAUUUUAUGAAUAUGCAAGCACCGGCAUUUAUACCAACUCAUGGAGUGUAUGGAAAUGAUUACAACCAGGGUACCACCCACUUCUUCUGAUUAUUUCUACCAAUUGCUAAUUUUAUCAUUCAUCAUUCAUAUAUAUUUAGGUAAUGCAGUUCAUUAUUCUGCACCAUUUGAAUCGUCGAAUCUUAAUGAUCUUCAAGAGUUGAAGACGAGUAUACGUGUUCAAAUUGAAUAUUACUUUGGGUAUAUAUCAUUUCAUAUAUGAGAUUUUUUUUUUUAAGUAUAUAUGUUUUUGUAACGUUUUCAUUGUAUUUUUAUAGAGAUACCAACUAUCCAACUGAUGAUCAUCUACACAAAAAAAUGGAUAAAGAAGGGUGGGUGGACAUAUCUGAAAUCGCACAAUUUAGAAUGGUGUGUUCAAAAUAUUUAUCGUUCUAGGAAGUUACAUAUUCUCAAUAUUUCCAACUAACAACUAUAUAUGCUUCAAUUGUGAUGUUACAGAUAAGAAGAAAAAAUGUUGAUUUAUCCCUUAUUUUAGAAUCUUUGAAAUCGUCAAAAAUGAUCGAAAUAAAGGUAAUUAUAAUACAUGUAAAAAUUAAAUUUCACUAUGACUAAUUAAGUGCUUGAUACAAUUUUAUUUAUCGAUCAUAAAGAGUAUAAUUUUUUAAAUGGUGUUGUAUAUUUAACAUUUAUGUUGUUUUUUGUUUAUAGGGAAAUAAGAUAAGAAAAAUCAUUCAUGAAAAAAUGCUUCCAUUACCUGAAACGACGACCGAUACAAGUCAAUGAUAAAGAGCUUAUCGGCCUCAAGAAGUUUUAACUUUAUUUUUAAUUUGAACCUUAUUAUCUGAUUUUUACAACAUUUAGUUAGCCAUUAAUAAUUGGUUAAGUGACAUUUCCACAGUUUGAUUUUUGGCUACAUUUCGUUAGCCAUUUUUUGUUUGAUUGUCAUUUCGUCAUUUUUAUGUUCGACCAGAUUUCGUUAACCAUUUUUUAGUUGUGUGUCUUUUUGCUGUUUGAUUUUUGGCUAUAUUUUGCUAGCCAUGUUUGAGUGAGCCUCAUUUUGGCUGUUUGUACUUUAUAGACUUCAUUUUAACAUUCUAAAUUGAAGAAUUGAAUUUUUUUUGUUAAUUAAUUUGAGGUUAUCAACUUUGAUACUUUUCUUUUAUCCAUGUAUUUUGGUUAAUAGCAAGAACCUAGUGAAGCUCAAAUAAAAAUUGCAAACGAUCAAGUGAAUGGAAAUAACAAAAUAAAUAAAUGUCAAAUACCACAAGAAAUACCAUAAGAACUGCAAAGCAAGGCAUAUUUGAAGGUGUUUCGAUCUGCAUCUUUCCUGUGACGGAAAGGAUAUACAAUGUGAGAAUUGAUUGAAACGCAACUUGUGUUGAAAUAUACUUACAGAUUCAAACGCAACUUGUGUUGAAUCCAUUACAACGGAAGUACAGAUAGACGAUAUCUAUUUGUUUGUUCUUUUGUAUUAUCGAUAUUUAUUGUCUAUUUUUUAUAAUGUUCUUGUCUAUUUUUAUAUUUACAGUCUAUGGUUUUUAGUCCUUGAUACUUGAUAGAUAUUUGAUAUCUAUUAUAUAUUUUAUCUAUUUUUGUGGUUUCUUUGUCGUUUUCUUUAUUGAUUUUUAUUCAUUCUUGUUCUAUUAAUAGGUUACCAAAUUCUUGUUCUAUUUGAAGAAGAGAGUUUCCCAUCUCUUACUCGGGUACCUUCUCCAAGUUAUAAGGAACCAGAUGGUGGCCAUUGAAUUGUUAGUCUACCUUCCUCCAUUGGAAUCUGAGGCAUAGAUGGACCGAAAGGGGAAUCAUCUAGCUUUAGAAGGGGGAGGAGAGCACGACUUGUGCUAGAAUUCUUCAAGAAAUUUGACAAAUUUACGCUUCUCAACCUUACUCAUGGCUCUCGCGUCUUGAUGUUUCAAGAGUUGCUCGUGGAGGGUACGUAAGGCUAUCCCCAACUGAAUCUUUGACUGGGGGAGAGAUGAUUCCGUCAGGGAAUUAAUGUAAAAAUUCGAAAAACAAACAGAUAACAUUAUUAUUAGAGGAAACGUUUCAAAUAAAAUAUUUAAAAUGAUAUAUUUUGUGAAAUAUUAAUUUAGAACGUUUAUUUAUUUUAAAUUAAAUGAAACACAUCUUAAGGUAGAUCAUAUCUCGAGGUUGUAUAUCUCAAUUUACUCCAAAUAAAUAUGUUAGAUUAAUAUCUCAU
Molecule: long non-coding RNA, 42752 nt
Filed under: Zostera marina
Lineage: Eukaryota; Viridiplantae; Streptophyta; Magnoliopsida; Alismatales; Zosteraceae
Description: long non-coding RNA (ZMAR_LNC001659)
Source: RNAcentral